RNAcentral lists this long non-coding RNA (272 nucleotides) under Mytilus galloprovincialis (Mediterranean mussel). The record is from RNAcentral. Lineage: Eukaryota; Metazoa; Mollusca; Bivalvia; Mytilida; Mytilidae.
AGCGUUCAUAUCACUUCGGUCAAAAUAGGACAAAUCAUGCGAAGGAUAUAACGAGCAAUUUUGUAAAAUAAAUUUGUCAUAAUAUUUUACGGUUGCGAAGGAGAUGCGCUAACAAGGAAAACAGUGUUUGGGAGAUAACUCCUACAAAGAAAAGUAUUCGUUUACGCAGGGUAAAUUUCAAAAGCGCAUAAACUGUUCGAUAUCAUAUACCAAAUAUCUAAGCGACAUAUUGCGAAACAAAUGUUUAUCGCAAGAACAAAAUUAGGCGGAAG